RNAcentral lists this ribosomal RNA (778 nucleotides) under alpha proteobacterium SCGC AAA003-F10. Its description in RNAcentral is "SSU rRNA". It matches the Rfam family "Bacterial small subunit ribosomal RNA", at positions 56 to 873 of the family's 1533-position model. The record is from RNAcentral. Lineage: Bacteria; Pseudomonadati; Pseudomonadota; Alphaproteobacteria.
UGCAGUCGACGAGAGCCAUCCUUCGGGAUGGUGGGCAGUGGCGAACGGGUGAGUAACGCGUGGGAACCUGCCCUUCGGUACGGGACAACCGCGGGAAACUGCGGCUAAUACCGUAUAUUCCCUGAGGGGGAAAGAUUUAUCGCCGAGGGAUGGGCCCGCGUCCGAUUAGCUUGUUGGUGAGGUAAAAGCCCACCAAGGCGACGAUCGGUAGCUGGUUUGAGAGGAUGAUCAGCCACACUGGGACUGAGAUACGGCCCAGACUCCUACGGGAGGCAGCAGUGGGGAAUAUUGGACAAUGGGGGCAACCCUGAUCCAGCCAUGCCGCGUGAGUGAAGAAGGCCUUAGGGUUGUAAAGCUCUUUCAGCGAGGAAGAUAAUGACGGUACUCGCAAAAGAAGCCCCGGCUAACUCCGUGCCAGCAGCCGCGGUAAUACGGAGGGGGCUAGCGUUGUUCGGAAUUACUGGGCGUAAAGCGCGCGUAGGCGGUUUGCUAAGUUGGGCGUGAAAGCCCGGGGCUCAACCCCGGAACUGCGUUCAAAACUGGCAAACUAGAGGCCGGGAGAGGAGAGCGGAAUUCCCAGUGUAGAGGUGAAAUUCGUAGAUAUUGGGAAGAACACCAGUGGCGAAGGCGGCUCUCUGGCCCGGUUCUGACGCUGAGGCGCGAAAGCGUGGGGAGCGAACAGGAUUAGAUACCCUGGUAGUCCACGCCGUAAACGAUGAGUGCUAGACGUCGGGAGGCUUGCCUUUCGGUGUCGCAGCUAACGCAUUAAGCACUCGCC